CUGCCCGCAACAGGGGGAUAACCCGGCGAAAGUCGGACUAAUACCGCAUAAAACAGGGGUCCCGCAUGGGAAUAUUUGUUAAAGAUUUAUCGGUUGCGGAUGGGCAUGCGUACCAUUAGGUAGUUGGUGAGGUAACGGCUCACCAAGCCUUCGAUGGUUAGGGGUUCUGAGAGGAAGGUCCCCCACACUGGUACUGAGACACGGACCAGACUCCUACGGGAGGCAGCAGUGAGGAAUAUUGGUCAAUGGGCGAGAGCCUGAACCAGCCAAGUCGCGUGAAGGAUGACUGCCCUAUGGGUUGUAAACUUCUUUUACAAGGGAAUAAAAUGAGAUACGUGUAUUUUAUUGCAUGUACCUUGGGAAUAAGCAUCGGCUAACUCCGUGCCAGCAGCCGCGGUAAUACGGAGGAUGCGAGCGUUAUCCGGAUUUAUUGGGUUUAAAGGGUGCGUAGGUGGGCUAUUAAGUCAGCGGUGAAAGUUUGUCGCUUAACGAUAAAAUUGCCGUUGAAACUGGUAGUCUUGAGUAUAGAUGAAGUAGGCGGAAUGCGUGGUGUAGCGGUGAAAUGCAUAGAGAUCACGCAGAACUCCGAUUGCGAAGGCAGCUUACUAAGGUAUAACUG
This 619-nucleotide ribosomal RNA is filed under the name Tannerella forsythia. Its description in RNAcentral is "bacterial SSU rRNA". It matches the Rfam family "Bacterial small subunit ribosomal RNA", at positions 126 to 742 of the family's 1533-position model. The record is from RNAcentral. Lineage: Bacteria; Pseudomonadati; Bacteroidota; Bacteroidia; Bacteroidales; Tannerellaceae.